AUUGAACGCUGGCGGCAGGCUUAACACAUGCAGGUCGAACGGUAACAUAAAGAAGCUUGCUUCUUUGAUGACGAGUGGCGGACGGGUGAGUAAUGCUUGGGAAUCUGGCUUAUGGAGGGGGAUAACUACGGGAAACUGUAGCUAAUACCGCGUAGAAUCGGGAGAUGAAAGUGUGGGACCUUCGGGCCACAUGCCAUAGGAUGAGCCCAAGUGGGAUUAGGUAGUUGGUGAGGUAAAGGCUCACCAAGCCGACGAUCUCUAGCUGGUCUGAGAGGAUGACCAGCCACACUGGGACUGAGACACGGCCCAGACUCCUACGGGAGGCAGCAGUGGGGAAUAUUGCGCAAUGGGGGCAACCCUGACGCAGCCAUGCCGCGUGAAUGAAGAAGGCCUUCGGGUUGUAAAGUUCUUUCGGUAGCGAGGAAGGCAUUUAGUUUAAUAGACUAGGUGAUUGAC
This 456-nucleotide ribosomal RNA is filed under the name Terrahaemophilus aromaticivorans. RNAcentral's name for it is "bacterial SSU rRNA". It matches the Rfam family "Bacterial small subunit ribosomal RNA", at positions 30 to 473 of the family's 1533-position model. The record is from RNAcentral. Lineage: Bacteria; Pseudomonadati; Pseudomonadota; Gammaproteobacteria; Pasteurellales; Pasteurellaceae.